Molecule: transfer RNA, 72 nt
Filed under: Camelus bactrianus (Bactrian camel)
Lineage: Eukaryota; Metazoa; Chordata; Mammalia; Artiodactyla; Camelidae
Also listed under: 3 other names
Rfam family: tRNA
About the family: Transfer RNA (tRNA) molecules are approximately 80 nucleotides in length. Their secondary structure includes four short double-helical elements and three loops (D, anti-codon, and T loops). Further hydrogen bonds mediate the characteristic L-shaped molecular structure. tRNAs have two regions of fundamental functional importance: the anti-codon, which is responsible for specific mRNA codon recognition, and the 3' end, to which the tRNAs corresponding amino acid is attached (by aminoacyl-tRNA synthetases). tRNAs cope with the degeneracy of the genetic code in two manners: having more than one tRNA (with a specific anti-codon) for a particular amino acid; and 'wobble' base-pairing, i.e. permitting non-standard base-pairing at the 3rd anti-codon position.
Source: Rfam by way of RNAcentral
GAGGGUGUAGCUCAGUGGUAGAGCACAUGCUUAGCAUGCAUGACAUCCUGGGUUCAAUCCCUAGUACCUCCA